Molecule: long non-coding RNA, 1556 nt
Organism: Tachyglossus aculeatus (Australian echidna)
Lineage: Eukaryota; Metazoa; Chordata; Mammalia; Monotremata; Tachyglossidae
Exons: 6
Source: RefSeq, a predicted model, not a curated record
AUUCAACAGAUUAUCAGCAUCAAGUGCCAACACCAGAUCCUGCUUUAGAAAAAUGGUGCUGCAAAGGAGGAAAGCAGUGAGAAUUCCCCAAUGACUUCAGGCAUGGGACCACUGCAGGGCUGGGUGACUUGAGCUGGCUAGUCCUGUCCUGCUCCCUCCGGUGGGUUUCAGAAUCUGGAGCCGCAUUCACUGUCCUUUUUCACUGAGACUGUCUGAGCCUGAAGACAGUCACAUUCCAAACCAUGAGGGAAUAUUUUUCAAUAGGCUGUGAUACUCAUCCAACUCUGGCCCAUCCAACCUCUCCUGCUUCACACCAGGACAGGGCUCCCUGUGGAGGCUAGCAAUGGUGUCACUGGAAAUUAGACAUUUCUUCUAAUGGGAAGAGCACAGGUCCAGAAGUCAGAAGACCUUCGUUCUAAUCAUGGCUCUGCCACUUGCCUGCUUUGUGACCUUGGACCCCUGCUUAGCCCCACCAGACUAGGAAAGUGACAAAACGGUCAGACUCAUGGUGGAAAGGCCCUCUGAUCCUUUGUCAGACAAGGAGGACUGGGGCCCUCAUGAAGCCAGGCAACAGCACACUGUUGUGCACGCAGUUUGCUUUGUCCACCGGUGCCAGGACUACAGUUCCCAGCAGCCUCUGGGGAUAAGGUUGAUGUAUCCUGGCACUUCUCUGCCCUCCCUCUAAACAAACUGGAGAUGCUGGAAGACUGCCUGACAUAAAUCCAGCUGCUUGACUUCAUUGAUUACAUCAUGCAAACACGUGCACAGAAGAAGCUUUGUUCUAUAAGAUCAAGGUUUAUCUAAGAAAGCAUUUAUUCAAAUGUUCAGGCUGAAGAGGAGUCACACAUGCCCCACAAUUAACUUUUUGUUUCUGAGUAAGCCCCUGGGGUUACUAACUGUGAAUGAGUGGCAUGCUGAAAGACACAAGGUUUGAAAUUGUAAAUACUAGGGCAAGACACUUAUUAGAAUACAGAAAAUUCAAGUUUUGGUGGGGAUAAAGGUUUACUUUGGGGCAGGGAACACGUCUACCAACUCGUUUGUAUUAUAUUCUCCUGAGCUCUUACUGCACGCAAUAAGCACUAAGUAAAUACCUCUGAUUUAUUGGUAAUGCUUUUUAAAAAUAAUAUUUUAAGGUAGUUAUGUCCCUGGGAAUAACUCAAAGUCCUUCGUAAGCCCCUCACCAUCUAUCCAACCAGGGGGCUAUUUAUCCAUUCAUUCAUUCAUUCAGUAAUAUUUAUUGAGUGCUUACUGUGUGCAGAGCACUGUACUAAGCUCUUGGGAGAGUACAAUUUAACAAUGAACAGAUGCAUUCCCUGCCCACAAUGAGCUUACAACCUAGCUGCCUGUUCCUAGUAUGCCUAUGACUCCAGCUGCCUUUAUAUCAGCCAUUUUAAUUUAAAAACUUCAGCCUUCCUCCACCUAAGGGCUCAGAAACAGGGCCUUCUGUUCACAGAUACAUGGAAGGGGAACAGAGUGGCUUUCACUCCCUCAGUGCCCCUUGCCCCACAGCACUUACAUACAUUUCUGUAGUACAUUUAUUUAUAUUAAUGUCUGUC